This 253-nucleotide ribosomal RNA is filed under the name uncultured bacterium. RNAcentral's name for it is "partial 16S ribosomal RNA". It matches the Rfam family "Bacterial small subunit ribosomal RNA", at positions 524 to 776 of the family's 1533-position model. The record is from RNAcentral.
UACAGAGGUCUCAAGCGUUGUUCGGAUUCAUUGGGCGUAAAGGGUGCGUAGGCGGCGUGGUAAGUCGGGUGUGAAAUCUCGGAGCUUAACUCCGAAACUGCAUUCGAUACUGCCGUGCUUGAGGACUGGAGAGGAGACUGGAAUUUACGGUGUAGCGGUGAAAUGCGUAGAUAUCGGGAGGAACACCCGUGGCGAAGGCGGCACUCUGGGCCGGAACUGACGCUGAGACGCGAAAGCGUGGGGAGCAAACAGG